GACGAACGCUGGCGGCGUGCCUAAUACAUGCCAGUAGAACGCUGAAGGAGGAGCUUGCUUCUCUGGAUGAGUUGCGAACGGGUGAGUAACGCGUAGGUAACCUGCCUGGUAGCGGGGGAUAACUAUUGGAAACGAUAGCUAAUACCGCAUAAUAGUAGAUGUUGCAUGACAUUUGCUUAAAAGGUGCAAUUGCAUCACUACCAGAUGGACCUGCGUUGUAUUAGCUAGUUGGUGAGGUAACGGCUCACCAAGGCGACGAUACAUAGCCGACCUGAGAGGGUGAUCGGCCACACUGGGACUGAGACACGGCCCAGACUCCUACGGGAGGCAGCAGUAGGGAAUCUUCGGCAAUGGACGGAAGUCUGACCGAGCAACGCCGCGUGAGUGAAGAAGGUUUUCGGAUCGUAAAGCUCUGUUGUAAGAGAAGAACGAGGGUGAGAGUGGAAAGUUCACACUGUGACGGUAUCUUACCAGAAAGGGACGGCUAACUACGUG
RNAcentral lists this ribosomal RNA (495 nucleotides) under uncultured bacterium. RNAcentral's name for it is "partial 16S ribosomal RNA". It matches the Rfam family "Bacterial small subunit ribosomal RNA", at positions 28 to 507 of the family's 1533-position model. The record is from RNAcentral.